Molecule: long non-coding RNA, 566 nt
Filed under: Homo sapiens (human)
Lineage: Eukaryota; Metazoa; Chordata; Mammalia; Primates; Hominidae
Description: non-protein coding GMDS-DT:120
Source: RNAcentral
ACACACACACACACACACACACACACACACACACACACACACACACUGGAAUACUAUUCAGUCAUGAAAAAUAAUGAAAUCUUGUCAUUUGCAGCACCGUGGAUGAAACUGGAGGACACUAUGUUAAGUGAAGUAAGGCUAGAAGAGAAAGUUAAAUACUGCAUGUUCUCACAAAUGAAUUAGUCACCCAAGGAAUGCUGACCCUGUGCUAUAUGAUCACAUUUACUCUUGCUGCUGGCAAGACAUAGUUUUUUAUAACAUAACGUUGUAAUAAGAGUGACCUUCCAACACCUUUGCCAUAUUCUAUUGGUUAGAAGCAAGUCACGGAUUUCAUUCACGCUCAAGGGGGAUGAACUAGAACCUGAAUACUAGGAGGUGGGGGUCGUGGAGGUCACUUUAAAGUCUAUUCAUCCCAUCUGAUGCAUGUUUUAAAAAGACCUCUCACUGUAAUGUGUGGAGGUUAGACUGUAGGGUGGUGGAGAGACCAGGCUUAGUGACAAGAGGCUGUUGUAUUUGGAAAUUAGGAAAUCAUUAGGAACUGCUUUUUCAACAAAUAUUCAUAAAAU